Molecule: ribosomal RNA, 156 nt
Organism: Tripterygium wilfordii
Lineage: Eukaryota; Viridiplantae; Streptophyta; Magnoliopsida; Celastrales; Celastraceae
Product: 5.8S ribosomal RNA
Exons: 1
Source: RefSeq, a predicted model, not a curated record
GACUCUCAGUAACGGAUAUCUCGGCUCUCGCAUCUAUGAAGAAUGUAGUGAAAUGCGAUACUUGGUGUGAAUUGCAGAAUCCCGUGAACCAUUGAGGUUUUGAACGUAACUUGCACCCGAAGCUGUUAGGUCGAGGGCACGCGUACCUGGGUGUCA